Molecule: long non-coding RNA, 901 nt
Filed under: Lytechinus variegatus (green sea urchin)
Lineage: Eukaryota; Metazoa; Echinodermata; Echinoidea; Temnopleuroida; Toxopneustidae
Description: uncharacterized LOC121409322, transcript variant X1
Source: RNAcentral
ACAUUAAUAUCAAUCUAAUGACAUUCCAUAGGAAUAAAAAUCCAAUGGGAUCCAGUUCUUAGCAGUCCCAGCCUAGUCAGAAGUACAAAGUCAAAUACCAUUUGCACAUCACCAAGAGGUACAAUCUGAUGAGUAACAGGAUAUCUAAAAGCUUGCCAGGUUUCACAGGCAGUUUGAGUAUCACCAGGGCACAUCAAGAAGAAAUAUGAAGGCCAGGUUCAUAACAAGCAGUUACUUCAUUGCAAUUACAGAUUUUAAAAAAAUGAAUGAAUUUAAAUAAAUGUGUCAAUACGUAUUGUAUGUUGCUUAAACUACACAUCUGUUGAAAAAAAGGAUUAGAUGGAGUAUAGAUAUUUAGGUCCAUAGGUUUCACACAAGAUUAAAAUAUUUUUCCAAAGGGCACACUUAUCCCCCCCCCCUUUAUUAAUGUUCUAAUCAUCUACAUGUAGUACUUAUAGUAGUGAAAGCACUUUGAAUAAUAUUAGUAGUUUGAAAGGGAUAGGUUGUAUUCUUGUAAUCUAAACAAUGCAGUAUGGGCCUUUACUGAGGUCUGGGCUAUGUAACAUACAUGCCUACAGACAUAUAAAAGGUGAUAAAAAAUAAUGGAUUUUCAUUGAAAAAAAUGUGCGUAAUAAAAACAAUGUGACAGAACAAAGGGCGAAGAAAUCACUCUCAGUCCUGGACCCCAAUUCAUUAAGACUAACCACUAUUCUAACUUUGAAAUUCUGGUAAUUACUAUGGAAACAUUAAAGCAACAGAUAAAAAUUGGGGUUCCCAUGCUAGUUACAUUUGGGGCCAAUUUACCAUAAUUGAAGUCCUUUUGAAACAAGAAACUGUAUGUAUUGCUGGACAUUAAGCUGUUGAAUUCAUUUUCUGGGGGAAGUGAAAAGUUGCACUUUUU